This 1509-nucleotide long non-coding RNA is filed under the name Manacus vitellinus (golden-collared manakin). RNAcentral's name for it is "lncRNA (ENSMVIG00005016927.1)". The record is from RNAcentral. Lineage: Eukaryota; Metazoa; Chordata; Aves; Passeriformes; Pipridae.
CUAGACUUGACUGCUGUCAAAUACUGGCUGCAAGUGAGAUGGGUUUCCUGAAUGCUGUGUUUUACUUGGUGACAUAUCCUGAACCUUUGGGAAGAGCUUUUUCAAAUAAGCUUUUCUCAAGUUUUUUGCAGAUGUCUUUUUUUUUUUUCUUUCUUUCUUCUUAUAAGGAGUACUAGGCUAUCACAGCAUUGGAAAUGCUGAUAAAUUGGUGUAAAAGUCUUGUCUGCUAUUCCUUUCCCUAUCUAAUGUUCAUCUCUGCACUGUCCUCAGAACAUGUCCUGCCCAUAGUUGCUCUGUUAACUUGUCCCUGCUCAUAACACCCUGCACAAAAACCACAACUGGGUGCUUUUUGGUCUGAUUAAAAUCACGCUGUGCAAUAGGAAAUACAAAUUAGCUCUGGCCUUUGGGCUCCUGACAAGUUUCCAGUGCUGCUUUCAGCACCACGCAGAUUGUGUAACUCCAUCCGUGCGUCCUCCGUGUGGUGACGUCUCCCCCUCCGUCAUGAGCUGGGCUGGCUGCCACACAUCCAGGUUCAGCUGUUAAUACUUCAAGCAGCUUUUAGAACUGAAGGAGGAAGAGAGAUUGCCAGCAGCCUUGUGAAAUGCGGAAACCAGCUUUUUCUUGCUAGGAGACAGUGUGGGAAGGGGCAAAAAGAGGGUUUUUUCUAGGUAAUUCCCCAAAUCUUGAUGUUUGUGCAAAUACCUCCCUGUCUAAUGAGCAAUUGGGGAGCUCAGCACCAGGACAGCCAAUGCUUCAGUACAGGAUUAACCUCUGAAGGAAGAGCACAGUAGCAUCUUAUACAAACUGUGGCUUAAGUUUGCCUGGCCAUGAAGCACACAGCACUUUCCUGCCUCCUCCAAGGAUUCAAGCCAGGCAACUAUGUUGCAUCAUUUCAGCAUUGCUAACAGAAGGGCUCAGGCAGCAGCUACCGUGUCAUGCCUUCAACAGAAACCUUUAAGUCUCGGCAACUUCCUCUGAGGAUGCUGAAGCAAACACUGUCCAGACCUGCAAGUGAACAAGUUACAAAUGACAUCUCUGGUUCGAAAUGCCUCAGUUGCUGCUGGGCCAUCUCUCUGUCUGCUGAGUAUAAUCUCUGGUGUUUAUUUAACCACCCUUGGCCUGCUGGGUGAGAGCCACCAUCCUCGGACUGAUGGCUACACCUGAAACACAACACAUAUGCAUUUUUAUGGCCAAUUUGGACAAAGUCAUCCCUCCAGAUGGUAACUGCAACUUCUAGAUAAGACCUGACAUGUGACAACCUAAGAAACACCAAACUGAGGAGGGAAGGAAGGAAUUGUCCAUUUUCAGACGCCAGCGUGGCUACAUAUACUGACACUGUUGCACAAACACAAACAAUUUUAUCUGGAACAGUUGCCUCUUGGUAGUUGUUCCAUUACCUGUAAUUGAUUAUGCCAGAGCUUGCAGCCUCUAUGAUCAGAAAGCAACUUCCUCUGUGUGUUUUUGAAUCAGAUUAAUAAAGGGAAACAAUAUUUCUACUGAGAAAGCCUC